ACGGGAGGCAGCAGUGAGGAAUAUUGGUCAAUGGUCGGAAGACUGAACCAGCCAAGUCGUGUGCAGGAAGACGGUCCUAUGGAUUGUAAACUGCUUUUGUACGGGAAUAAAGUGCGGGACGUGUCCCGUUUGGAAUGUACCGUAAGAAUAAGGGUCGGCUAACUCCGUGCCAGCAGCCGCGGUAAUACGGUGGACCCGAGCGUUAUCCGGAUUUAUUGGGUUUAAAGGGUGCGCAGGCGGAGGAUUAAGUCAGCGGUGAAAGUCUCAUGCUCAUCAUGAGAACUGCCAUUGAUACUGGACCCCUUGAGAGAUGUAGAGGAUGGCGGAAUGUGAUGUGUAGCGGUGAAAUGCUUAGAUAUGUCACAGAACACCGAUUGCGAAGGCAGCUGUCCAGAGAUCAUCUGACGCUCAGGCACGAAAGCAUGGGUAUCAAACAGGAUUAGAUACA
Molecule: ribosomal RNA, 448 nt
Filed under: uncultured Porphyromonadaceae bacterium
Lineage: Bacteria; Pseudomonadati; Bacteroidota; Bacteroidia; Bacteroidales; Porphyromonadaceae
Description: partial 16S ribosomal RNA
Rfam family: Bacterial small subunit ribosomal RNA
Source: RNAcentral